GAUGAACGCUGGCGGCGUGCCUAAUAUAUGCAAGUCGAGCGAACAGACGAGGAGCUUGCUCCUUUGACGUUAGCGGCGGACGGGUGAGUAACACGUAGGUAACCUACCUAUAAGACUGGGAUAACUUCGGGAAACCGGAGCUAAUACCGGAUAAUAUUUCGAACCGCAUGGUUCGAUAGUGAAAGAUGGCUUUGCUAUCACUUAUAGAUGGACCUGCGCCGUAUUAGCUAGUUGGUAAGGUAACGGCUUACCAAGGCAACGAUACGUAGCCGACCUGAGAGGGUGAUCGGCCACACUGGAACUGAGACACGGUCCAGACUCCUACGGGAGGCAGCAGUAGGGAAUCUUCCGCAAUGGGCGAAAGCCUGACGGAGCAACGCCGCGUGAGUGAUGAAGGUCUUCGGAUCGUAAAACUCUGUUAUUAGGGAAGAACAAACGUGUAAGUAACUGUGCACGUCUUGACGGUACCUAAUCAGAAAGCCACGGCUAACUACGUG
This 497-nucleotide ribosomal RNA is filed under the name uncultured bacterium. RNAcentral describes it as "partial 16S ribosomal RNA". It matches the Rfam family "Bacterial small subunit ribosomal RNA", at positions 28 to 507 of the family's 1533-position model. The record is from RNAcentral.